RNAcentral lists this ribosomal RNA (433 nucleotides) under uncultured bacterium. RNAcentral's name for it is "partial 16S ribosomal RNA". It matches the Rfam family "Bacterial small subunit ribosomal RNA", at positions 29 to 507 of the family's 1533-position model. The record is from RNAcentral.
AACGAACGCUGGCGGCAUGCCUAACACAUGCAAGUCGAACGAGACCUUCGGGUCUAGUGGCGCACGGGUGCGUAACGCGUGGGAACCUGCCCUUAGGUUCGGAAUAACUCUCCGAAAGGGGUGCUAAUACCGGAUAAUGUCUUCGGACCAAAGAUUUAUCGCCUUUGGAUGGGCCCGCGUUGGAUUAGCUAGUUGGUAGGGUAAAAGCCUACCAAGGCGACGAUCCAUAGCUGGUCUGAGAGGAUGAUCAGCCACACUGGGACUGAGACACGGCCCAGACUCCUACGGGAGGCAGCAGUGGGGAAUAUUGGACAAUGGGCGAAAGCCUGAUCCAGCAAUGCCGCGUGAGUGAUGAGGGCCUUAGGGUUGUAAAGCUCUUUUACCCGGGAUGAUAAUGACAGUACCGGGAGAAUAAGCUCCGGCUAACUCCGUG